AGAGAGAGACAUGCGCGCAUAUCAAUAAGCGGAGGAAAAGAAACUAACAAGGAUUCCCCUAGUAACGGCGAGUGAAGCGGGAAGAGCUCAAAUUUGAAAUCUUAAAGGGUUUCCCUUUACGAAUUGUAGUUUAAAGAAGUGUUUUCUGUUGGAGUUUCGGUAAAAGUUCUUUGGAAUAGGACAUCAUAGAGGGUGAGAAUCCCGUAUUUGACCGUUACUUUCCAGCUGUGUGAUACACUUUCAACGAGUCGGAUUGUUUGGGAAUGCAGUCCAAAAUGGGUGGUAAAUUUCAUCUAAAGCUAAAUAUUGGCGAGAGACCAAUAGCGAACAAGUACCGUGAGGGAAAGAUGAAAAGAACUUUGAAAAGAGAGUUAAACAGUACGUGAAAUUGUCAAAAGGGAAGCGUUUGACACCAGUGUUGUUUAGCUCGAAAAUCAAUUAAAAUGACCUGAUUUUGAUAGUUAGUAUUGACUUUAUCAGCUUGCUGCACUUUUUUCUUGUAACUUAUUUAAUGCACUUUUCAGUUAACAAGUCAACAUCAAUUUCUUUUGUCGUAAAAGGGUCAGUAGGAAGGUGGCUUUCACAUUCGGUGUAAGUGUUUAUAGCCUUUGACUUCUGCAAUCGGAGAGAUUGAGGUCAUGCAGCGUAGAUCCUUCGGGGUUAGAUACAUUGUGCUAAGCUAUAGCCUUGUAUAGACAACUUGUUGACUAUGCUCAGUCAUGUAGCUUACUCGCUGAUAGCUAUUUUACCUACGCUUAGGAUGUUGAUAGUCACAGCGUGUAC
RNAcentral lists this ribosomal RNA (783 nucleotides) under uncultured Neocallimastigales. Its description in RNAcentral is "partial large subunit ribosomal RNA". It matches the Rfam family "Eukaryotic large subunit ribosomal RNA", at positions 23 to 631 of the family's 3401-position model. Lineage: Eukaryota; Fungi; Neocallimastigomycota; Neocallimastigomycetes; Neocallimastigales. The record is from RNAcentral.